This 253-nucleotide ribosomal RNA is filed under the name uncultured bacterium. Its description in RNAcentral is "partial 16S ribosomal RNA". It matches the Rfam family "Bacterial small subunit ribosomal RNA", at positions 524 to 776 of the family's 1533-position model. The record is from RNAcentral.
CACGUAGGGCGCAAGCGUUGUCCGGAAUUAUUGGGCGUAAAGAGCUCGUAGGCGGUCUGUUGCGUCCGCUGUGAAAACUCGGGGCUUAACCCCGAGCCUGCAGUGGAUACGGGCAGACUAGAGGUAGGUAGGGGAGAAUGGAAUUCCAGGUGUAGCGGUGAAAUGCGUAGAUAUCUGGAAGAACACCAGUGGCGAAGGCGGUCAACUGGCCCAUAACUGACGCUCAGGCACGAAAGCGUGGGGAGCAAACAGG